This 538-nucleotide ribosomal RNA is filed under the name uncultured bacterium. RNAcentral describes it as "bacterial SSU rRNA". It matches the Rfam family "Bacterial small subunit ribosomal RNA", at positions 772 to 1314 of the family's 1533-position model. The record is from RNAcentral.
ACUCAAUAGAUACCCAGGUAGUCCACGCCCUAAACGAUGUCUACUAGUUGUCGGGUCUUAAUUGACUUGGUAAACGCAGCUAAACGCGUGAAGUAGACCGCCUGGGGAGUACGGUCGCAAGAUUAAAACUCAAAGGAAUUGACGGGGACCCGCACAAGCGGUGGAUGAUGUGGAUUAAAUUCGAUGCAACGCGAAAAACCUUACCUACCCUUGACAUGGAUGGAAUCCCUGAGAGAUUGGGGAGUGCUCGAAAGAGAACCAUUACACAGGUGCUGCAUGGCUGUCGUCAGCUCGUGUCGUGAGAUGUUGGGUUAAGUCCCGCAACGAGCGCAACCCUUGUCAUUAGUUGCUACGAAAGGGCACUCUAAUGAGACUGCCGGUGACAAACCGGAGGAAGGUGGGGAUGACGUCAAGUCCUCAUGGCCCUUAUGGGUAGGGCUUCACACGUCAUACAAUGGUACAUACAGAGGGCCGCCAACCCGCGAGGGGAGCUAAUCCCAGAAAGUGUAUCGUAGUCCGGAUUGUAGUCUGCAACUCG